UAUUAUAUUUAUUAAAUCACAAGGGGCAUCGAGCAAUGACUUUCAGGCCAAGUACAUUAUUUUGCAUCUUAAAAGGGAAUCGGAUAAUUCUUUACUUCUAUCCGAAAAAUGGUGAUUCUUUGCUUCUGGACACCAUUGAUCACAUUUCAUGCGGUCCAUAGACAAAAGCAGGAAGGAGAACAUGAGCAAUGCCCCAUAUGGAUGAAAAAUAGGUCACUGAUAUUCUUUGCUUUAGUUCAUACUCCUCG
Molecule: long non-coding RNA, 248 nt
Filed under: Eucalyptus grandis
Lineage: Eukaryota; Viridiplantae; Streptophyta; Magnoliopsida; Myrtales; Myrtaceae
Description: long non-coding RNA (EGRA_LNC007556)
Source: RNAcentral